This 1330-nucleotide long non-coding RNA is filed under the name Camponotus floridanus (Florida carpenter ant). RNAcentral's name for it is "uncharacterized LOC105257183, transcript variant X5". Lineage: Eukaryota; Metazoa; Arthropoda; Insecta; Hymenoptera; Formicidae. The record is from RNAcentral.
CGAAAAACUGAAACUUGUUGCUAUCAAAAGAAAAAGAACGGCAUGAGCGUCGCAACUACAAUUAACCAAAAUAAUUGAUUUUUUCAAUCUAAACAAGGAUUUAGCGGAAGGAAAAUUCAACGCUCUUCACGGAAAAGAAGAAGCACAAAGAAAAUGGACUGAACUAGCGGCAGAGCUAAAUACUUUAUAAAAAGCUACAAAAACGGUGGAUCAGUGGCAAGUGGUUUGGAGAGACUUAAAAAGCCGUGUUUCCAUUAAAGUAAAAGAAUUGUGUAAAGCAAAAGCUUUAACAGGAAAUAAACCAAUAACUCAAUCUGAGCUUUCUGAUUUUGAACUUCGUGUGCUUGGCAUAGUUGGAACUGAAUAUGUGGAAGGACACACAGAUUGUCCAGAGAGUAUUCCUGACGAGGAGAAUUUAUUAGAAGAACUGGAACAUGGAAAUAUUUCUGUUUUAUCGGAGACUCCAAACGUAAUCACUGUCUGCCCAAGUACCUCUAAAAAAAUUUCUGCGGACACUCCAUAUGCAUAUGUUAAUCUCUUGGAUGAUAAUGAUGAUGAUUCAAUUAUCAAUGACAAAUCACUUCACUACACAAGAAAGAAAUAUAAAGAUUCAGAAGCUAUUCAAAAUGAUAAUAAUGUUGACAAUACCGAAUUAAUAAAAAAAUCAAAAAUUUUUAUUAUCUCUUCUUCAAAAAAAACAAUAAAUACUCCAUAUCCACCAAUUGAAUCAAAGCCAACGGUACUAUCAAAAAGAUCAUCAGAAACUAUUUCUAAAGCGACUUCAAGAUUUAAUUUUUUUGGGUAAUGAUGAUGACGACUUAAAUAUCGAUGACAAAUCACCUCAGUAUACAAGAAGGGAAUAUGAAGAUUCAGAAGCUAUUGAUAAUAAUAAUGAUGUUGAUAAUUGCAAAUCAAGAAAAAAUUCAAAAAUUUCUAUCUCGUCUUUAAAAAAAAAUACUCCAUAUUCAUCUAUUGCAUCGAAGUCAAUGGUAUCAAAAAGAUUAUCAGAAACUAUUCCUAAAGCGACUUUAUCAAGAAAGUGUAAGUCUUAUAAAUACCUCCUUUUCUGCGAUGCUGAUUGGAUGCUGGUGCGUUCCGAUAUAUUCGCGGGAAGUAGCGUAGCGCUCGAGCGCUUCGUCAUCCAUAACCUAUUUGUUACUCUGCUCUUUCGUGUUACAUAAUAGUAGUGCGUUAAGAAAGAAGUAAAAAGAAUCUCGAAGAGGAGAAGGAGAAAGAGAGAAAGAAGAAAAGUCGAAUAAAGAAGGUAUGUAAAUAUGUGCAUAAAUAAUGCUCUUUUUUAAAAGAAAGUAUGAAAAACUUUGAUCGCAAA